CAAAUUGGAUCAGAAAUCCAAAAACAGGAAAUAAACAAUUAGGAUUACAAUGAUGGUGACAAUUUCAAGUUGGCAAUUACAAACAAAACAGUGAAAUGUACAUGAUGUAGCAAAAGUAUAGAAUUUCUUUCUCAGCUCCAUUAAAUUUGUACAGCACAAUCUUCUGCAUAUUACCCUCUACUUUACAGUGUUGCAAAAGCAAAAGUGGAGAAGAGUCCAUCCCAUACAAAUCCAGCUCUUGUCGCAUCUAUCAUAUUUGUCAUGAUCUGAAAUAAACGGAUGCUUCCAGAACUUAUGAGAAUGCUUAAAUUUGAGAUUGAUGAUCAUGAGAAAGACUGUCCUCACUCUUCAAUGCACUUGGGAGAUGUCCCAUAACAGUAUGAAGACAGUGAAACCAUAAGACUUGGCGUCUACCAUAUU
RNAcentral lists this unclassified non-coding RNA (420 nucleotides) under Hevea brasiliensis (rubber tree). The record is from RNAcentral. Lineage: Eukaryota; Viridiplantae; Streptophyta; Magnoliopsida; Malpighiales; Euphorbiaceae.